CUCUGGGUGGUGCAAAUUGUUAACACACUUGGCUGCUAACCAAAAGGUUGGCAGUUCAAACCCUCCCAGAGG
RNAcentral lists this transfer RNA (72 nucleotides) under Loxodonta africana (African savanna elephant). It matches the Rfam family "tRNA". From Rfam's summary of the family: Transfer RNA (tRNA) molecules are approximately 80 nucleotides in length. Their secondary structure includes four short double-helical elements and three loops (D, anti-codon, and T loops). Lineage: Eukaryota; Metazoa; Chordata; Mammalia; Proboscidea; Elephantidae. The record is from Rfam by way of RNAcentral.